RNAcentral lists this ribosomal RNA (571 nucleotides) under uncultured bacterium. RNAcentral's name for it is "partial 16S ribosomal RNA". It matches the Rfam family "Bacterial small subunit ribosomal RNA", at positions 355 to 919 of the family's 1533-position model. The record is from RNAcentral.
UGGGGAAUUUUGGACAAUGGGCGAAAGCCUGAUCCAGCAAUGCCGCGUGUGUGAAGAAGGCCUUCGGGUUGUAAAGCACUUUUGUCCGGAAAGAAAUCCUUGGCUCUAGUACAGUCGGGGGAUGACGGUACCGGAAGAAUAAGCACCGGCUAACUACGUGCCAGCAGCCGCGGUAAUACGUAGGGUGCAAGCGUUAAUCGGAAUUACUGGGCGUAAAGCGUGCGCAGGCGGUUUGCUAAGACCGAUGUGAAAUCCCCGGGCUCAACCUGGGAACUGCAUUGGUGACUGGCAGGCUAGAGUAUGGCAGAGGGGGGUAGAAUUCCACGUGUAGCAGUGAAAUGCGUAGAGAUGUGGAGGAAUACCGAUGGCGAAGGCAGCCCCCUGGGCCAAUACUGACGCUCAUGCACGAAAGCGUGGGGAGCAAACAGGAUUAGAUACCCUGGUAGUCCACGCCCUAAACGAUGUCAACUAGUUGUUGGGGAUUCAUUUCCUUAGUAACGUAGCUAACGCGUGAAGUUGACCGCCUGGGGAGUACGGUCGCAAGAUUAAAACUCAAAGGAAUUGACGGGGU